Sesamum indicum (sesame) is the source of this 632-nucleotide non-coding RNA. The record is from RefSeq and is a predicted model, not a curated record. NCBI's taxonomy places the organism in Eukaryota, Viridiplantae, Streptophyta, Magnoliopsida, Lamiales, Pedaliaceae.
CGAGCUGCAGAAGAGGAAAAAGUUGGCUGAAAGGGGGGAAAAUUAGGGUUCUUAUUCUCAAAAUUCAACCACUCGUUCUCACACUCUCUUCUCUUCACUCCCCAUAGCCGUUGCUCGCCACCCAUUCGCUGUCGCUGCUAGUUACCCGUUUGCCGCUGGUCGCGACAGCGCCGUUCGCCAAAAGAAAAAACAAAUGUAGAUCAUGUGAGGAUACAAAUCAUAAUUCGGCAACAUGCAAAAAGAGGAGAUUUGAUAACAGGGAUACAAGUACUGAAUCUGUAGCUACACCUGUGGAGGCAAGCCAAAGUCAGCAACCUUAUGCACCACAAUUCAGCAGCCAGCCUACUUAAGCAUAUGCCUCAAAUGAGUCUGCACAAAAUAGGGCCACUAGAUAGAAGCUUCCGAUAAGAAUGCCCCGAAAAAUAAGCAAACAAAGACAACAAGGUCAACUAGGAUUGCUUCAGUCAAGAUCAAUCAAUUUACAUCAAACUUACACACUUUGGUAAUUGUAAGAGGUCUAUCGAACUUAAAUGCCUCUUUCUCAAAUACAACAACAGGGAAUACUUCAAGGCUUGCUUCUGAAUUGCCUCCUAGAGUUGCAAAAAGUACUUCAAGGGUGCCUUCAAACUCAU